AACACAGCGGGGAAAGAAGACCCUGUUGAGCUUGACUCUAGUCCGACUCUGUGAAGAGUCAUGAGAGGUGUAGCAUAAGUGGGAGGCCUUGGCCGACAGUGAAAUACCACUACUUUCAUCGAUUCUUUACUUAUUCGGUAAGACGAGAAUUGAGCCUAUCCGGCUCUUCAUUCUGGUGUUAAGUGCAGCCACUCGGUGGCCGCUCGACUCGCGCCGAAGACAGUGUCAGGCGGGGAGUUUGACUGGGGCGGUACAUCUGUCAAAUCGUAACGCAGGUGUCCUAAGGCUAGCUCAGAGAGGACGGAAACCUCUCGUAGAGCAAAAGGGCAAAAGCUCGCUUGAUCUUGAUUUCCAGUACGAAUACAGACCGCGAAAGCGUGGCCUAUCGAUCCUUUUGAAUUAGAAGGUCUCUAGCAAGAGGUGUCAGAAAAGUUACCACAGGGAUAACUGGCUUGUGGCAGCCAAGCGUCCAUAGCGACGUUGCUUUUUGAUCCUUCGAUGUCGGCUCUUCCUAUCAUUGCGAAGCAGAAUUCGCCAAGCGUUGGAUUGUUCACCCACCAAUAGGGAACGUGAGCUGGGUUUAGACCGUCGUGAGACAGGUUAGUUUUACCCUACUGUGACUCGUUGUUGCGAUAGUAAUCCUGCUUAGUACGAGAGGAACCGCAGGUUCAGACAUUUGGUUCAUGUGCUUGGCCGAUCGGCCAAUGGUGCGAAGCUACCAUCUGAGGGAUUAUGACUGAACGCCUCUAAGUCAGAAUCCCGCCUAGUCAAGGCAACGAUACUCUAAGCAAUCUGCUCAUCUAACGCUUGUUUCGAUUCGCACAAUAACAAAAAAUUACCGAAAAGAUUAUAUCACCCACCAUCGGUAAGAUAAGUUUGAAAUAUUUUACACCUCUCCCCUAAAUCGCACCGGUAACUCGUUUC
This 924-nucleotide non-coding RNA is filed under the name Toxocara canis (dog roundworm). RNAcentral's name for it is "Eukaryotic large subunit ribosomal RNA". It matches the Rfam family "Eukaryotic large subunit ribosomal RNA", at positions 2389 to 3401 of the family's 3401-position model. Lineage: Eukaryota; Metazoa; Nematoda; Chromadorea; Rhabditida; Toxocaridae. The record is from Rfam by way of RNAcentral.